This 433-nucleotide ribosomal RNA is filed under the name uncultured bacterium. RNAcentral describes it as "partial 16S ribosomal RNA". It matches the Rfam family "Bacterial small subunit ribosomal RNA", at positions 28 to 507 of the family's 1533-position model. The record is from RNAcentral.
AACGAACGCUGGCGGCAGGCCUAACACAUGCAAGUCGAACGGGAGCUUCGGGCUUAGUGGCGCACGGGGGGGUAACGCGUGGGGACCUGCCCUUAGGUUCGGAAUAACGCGGCGGAAGGGGUGCGAAUACCGGCUCUUGUAUUCCGUCCAAAGAUUUAGUGCCUUUGGAUGGGCCUGGGUUGGAUUACCUAGUUGGUAGGGUAAAUGCCUACCAAGGGUACGAGGCAUAGCUGGUUUGAGAGGAGGGUCAGCGACACUGGGACUGAGACACGGUCCAGAAUCCUACGGGAGGGAGGAGUGGGGAAUCCUGGCCAGUGGGCGAUAGCCAGAUGCAGUUAGGCCGGGUGAGUGAUGAAGGCCUUAGGGUUGUAAAGCUAUUUUACCCGGGAUGAUAAUGACAGUACCGGGAGAAUAAGCUCCGGCUAACUCCGUG